UAGCGUCNAUUAAAGUUGUUNCAGUUAAAAAGCUCGUANUUNAACUUCAGGCCUGGCCGGGCGGUCUGCCUCACGGUAUGUACUGUCUGGCUGGGUCUUACCUCUUGGUGAGCCGGCAUGCCCUUCACUGGGUGUGUCGGGGAACCAGGACUUUUACCUUGAGAAAAUUAGAGUGUUCAAAGCAGGCCUGUGCCCGAAUACAUUAGCAUGGAAUAAUAAAAUAGGACGUGCGGUUCUAUUUUGUUGGUUUCUAGAGUCGCCGUAAUGAUUAAUAGGGAUAGUUGGGGGCAUUAGUAUUCAGUUGCUAGAGGUGAAAUUCUUGGAUUUACUGAAGACUAACUAUUGCGAAAGCAUCUGCCAAGGAUGUUUUCAUUAAUCAAGAACGAAGGUUAGGGGAUCGAAAACGAUCAGAUACCGUUGUAGUCUUAACAGUAAACUAUGCCGACUAGGGAUCGGGCAACCUCAAUUUGAUGUGUUGCUCGGCACCUUACGAGAAAUCAAAGUCUUUGGGUUACUGGGGGGAGUAUGGUCGCAAGGCUGAAACUUAAAGGAAUUGACGGAAGGGCACCACC
This 572-nucleotide ribosomal RNA is filed under the name Fomitopsis betulina (razor strop fungus). RNAcentral describes it as "SSU rRNA". It matches the Rfam family "Eukaryotic small subunit ribosomal RNA", at positions 595 to 1171 of the family's 1831-position model. The record is from RNAcentral. Lineage: Eukaryota; Fungi; Basidiomycota; Agaricomycetes; Polyporales; Fomitopsidaceae.